Ictalurus punctatus (channel catfish) is the source of this 1765-nucleotide long non-coding RNA. The record is from Ensembl. NCBI's taxonomy places the organism in Eukaryota, Metazoa, Chordata, Actinopteri, Siluriformes, Ictaluridae.
UUUCGUAAUAUUUUGGGUCAGAAACAUUUCAUAGUACUAUAUUAUGUCUAAAUAUGUGAAAAGAAUCAAAUUGGAGUAGGUCGGGCAACUAAUUAUAUGAGUUUGUUCGAAAAACCACUUUCCUUUGCUCCUAGCGCCUUCUCGUUGGCUGUAUAGCGUUUAGAGCGGAUAAAGAGCACAAGUGUGUAAGGAGACACAGGCUGAAUGCGAACUACUUUUGUUAUUGUACUUUUGAUGAAAACUGACUUUCUAGACAUAAAAUGUCACUUUUUUCACCUUAUCAUACUUUUUCAUCAACUUUUGCAUUUUAAUGUAAACAAUCAUAUUUCGUAAUAUUUUGGGUCAGAAACAUUUCAUAGUACUAUAUUAUGUCUAACUAUGUGAAAAAAAUCAAAUUGGAGUAGGUCGGGCCACUGAUUAUAUGAGUUUGUUCGAAAAACCACUUUCCUUUGCUCCUAGCGCCUUCUCGUUCGCUCUAUUGCGUUUUGAGCGGAUAAAGAGCACAAGUGUGCAUGCAGACACAGGAUGAAUGGGAACUCGAUUUGUUAUUGUACUUUUGAUGAAAACUGACUUUCUAGACAUAAAAUGUCACUUUUUUCACCUUAUCAUACUUUUUCAUCAACUUUUGCAUUUUAAUGUAAACAAUCAUAUUUCGUAAUAUUUUGGGUCAGAAACAUUUCAUAGUACUAUAUUAUGUCUAACUAUGUGAAAAAAAUCAAAUUGGAGUAGGUCGGGCCACUGAUUAUAUGAGUUUGUUCGAAAAACCACUUUCCUUUGCUCCUAGCGCCUUCUCGUUCGCUCUAUAGCGUUUUGAGCGGAUAAAGAGCACAAGUGUGCAUGCAGACACAGGAUGAAUGGGAACUCGAUUUGUUAUUGUACUUUUGAUGAAAACUGACUUUCUAGACAUAAAAUGUCACUUUUUUCACCUUAUCAUACUUUUUCAUCAACUUUUGCAUUUUAAUGUAAACAAUCAUAUUUCGUAAUAUUUUGGGUCAGAAACAUUUCAUAGUACUAUAGUAUGUCUAACUAUGUGAAAAAAAUCAAAUUGGAGUAGGUCGGGCAACUGAUUAUAUGAGUUUGUUCGAAAAACCACUUUCCCUUGCUCCUAGCGCCUUCUCGUUCGCUCUAUAGCGUUUUGAGCGGAUAAAGAGCACAAGUGUGUAAGGAGACACAGGAUGAAUGCGAACUACUUUUGUUAUUGUACUUUUGAUGAAAACUGACUUUCUAGACAUAAAAUGUCACUUUUUUCACCUUAUCAUACUUUUUCAUCAACUUUUGCAUUUUAAUGUAAACAAUCAUAUUUCGUAAUAUUUUGGGUCAGAAACAUUUCAUAGUACUAUAUUAUGUCUAACUAUGUGAAAAAAAUCAAAUUGGAGUAGGUCGGGCAACUGAUUAUAUGAGUUUGUUCGAAAAACCACUUUCCUUUGCUCCUAGCGCCUUCUCGUUCGCUCUAUAGCGUUUUGAGCGGAUAAAGAGCACAAGUGUGCAUGCAGACACAGGAUGAAUGGGAACUCGAUUUGUUAUUGUACUUUUGAUGAAAACUGACUUUCUAGACAUGAAAUGUCACUUUUUUCACCUUAUCAUACUUUUUCAUCAACUUUUUCAUUUUAAUGUAAACAAUCAUGUUUCGUAAUAUUUUGGGUCAGAAACAUUUCAUAGUACUAUAUUAUGUCUAAAUAUGUGAAAAGAAUCAAAUUGGAGUAGGUCCGGCAACUGAUUAUAUGAGUUUGUUAGAAAAACCACUUUCAAUUCAAUUCAAUUCAAU